UUAUGAAACGCAUUAGAAAAUUCUAAUUUCUAUCAUUCAGGGAUGCCCAGUUCCACAGUGAAUUACACAACUACGGCCUCACCCAAACCAUCUACUGAACCCAACCCAGCAGUGAAUACCACAGUCACGGUGUCAACGAUAUCAUAUAAUGGAUCAAAAACAACAGGGAUGCCCAGUUUCACAGUGAAUUACACAACUGUGCUCUUGCCAAAACUAUCUACUGAACCCAACCCAGCAGCAAAUUCCACAGUUCGGCCCUCAUCCACCCCAGCUAAUGUAUCUAAACCAGCAGGGAAUUCCACAGUUGAACCUUCACCCACCCCAGUUACUGAAUCUAAACCAGCAGAGAAUUCCACAAUAGGACCCUCACCCACCCCAGCUAAUGAAUCUAAACCAGCAGGUGUGUUUUAG
RNAcentral lists this long non-coding RNA (411 nucleotides) under Astyanax mexicanus (Mexican tetra). RNAcentral's name for it is "lncRNA (ENSAMXG00005017907.1)". The record is from RNAcentral. Lineage: Eukaryota; Metazoa; Chordata; Actinopteri; Characiformes; Acestrorhamphidae.